GGCACGUGUGUGUUUCUGUCUUAAAUUAUGGACUAAGACUUAAUGGACAGGUGCAAAAUUAAUCAAUCCUCUUUUGCAAUCCAGAGCUCAUUGUUUAGUAUGAGUUUUGAUACACAUGAGAAGGAAUACU
Small nucleolar RNA from Fukomys damarensis (Damara mole-rat), 130 nucleotides. The record is from Ensembl. Lineage: Eukaryota; Metazoa; Chordata; Mammalia; Rodentia; Bathyergidae.